Molecule: ribosomal RNA, 532 nt
Filed under: uncultured crenarchaeote
Lineage: Archaea; Thermoproteati; Thermoproteota
Description: bacterial SSU rRNA
Rfam family: Archaeal small subunit ribosomal RNA
Source: RNAcentral
UCAGCUUUCAUCCCUCACCGUUCCGGCAGGAUCAACCGGAAGCCGAUCAGGUUGUUGGUGAGGUAAUGGCUCACCAAGCCUUUUACCGGUGCGGGCCGUGAGAGCGGGAGCCCGGAGAUGGGUACUGAGACAAGGACCCAGGCCCUACGGGGCGCAGCAGUCGCGAAAACUUUGAAUACACGAAAGUGUGACAGGGCUAUCCCGAGUGCCUUCCGCUGAGGGAGGCUUUUACCUAGUAUAGACCGCUAGGGGAAUAAGGAGAGGGCAAGUCUGGUGUCAGCCGCCGCGGUAAUACCAGCUCUCCGAGUGGUGUGGAUGUUUAUUGGGCCUAAAGCAUCCCGUAGCUGGCUAGGUCAGUCCUUUGUUAAAUCCACCGAAUUAAUCGUUGGUUUGCGGGGGAUACUGCUUGGCUAGGGGACGAGAGAGGCAGACGGUAUUUCCGGGGUAGGAGUGAAAUCCUAUAAUCCCGGGAAGACCACCAGUGGCGAAGGCUGUCUGCUAGAACGCGCUCGACGGUGAGGGAUGAAAGCUG